RNAcentral lists this ribosomal RNA (167 nucleotides) under uncultured beta proteobacterium. Its description in RNAcentral is "partial 16S ribosomal RNA". The record is from RNAcentral. Lineage: Bacteria; Pseudomonadati; Pseudomonadota; Betaproteobacteria.
CCUACCGGAGGCAGCAGUGGGGAAUCCUACGCAAUGCAGCAACCCUGAUCCAGCACAACCGCGAAACCAAGAAGCCGCUACGCCGCAAAGCGCUUUAUCCGGAGAAUAGUAAAUCCUUUUCCCGCGAAGGUUGACGGUACCGGCAGAAGAAGCACACGCUAGCUGUG